CACCACGGACUGCAGGCCAGCGUGCAGUGAGGGGCACCGACGGGCGGGCCGGGGGGCGAGGGGGCCGGGACGGGCACAGCCACCGCCACCGGCGCGCACAGCCGCCCGCUCACCCGGACACACUCACACACACGCACACACACACACAAACACACACACACACACGAUCCAGGCUCGUUCAGACUGCUUGUGUUUAUAUAUAUAUGGAUAGACGCGUGCAUCUAUAUCUAUAUAUAUAUAUAAGAUCGAUACCGAUAGGGAGCGGUGGAGAAGGGUCGAUCCGAGCGAGAGCGUUCAGACCGCGUUGGGAAAGCGGGGUGGAGAAGCGUAAUGCACCAAAACUGCAGCUGUGCCCGGGGGGGUGGCUGUGGGGAGAGGGCUUAGGCGGGUGGGCUCAAGCUUCUUUUUUAAUUUUAUUUUUUAAUUAUUAUUAUUUUUAUUUGUAUUUUCACUCUCCAAAUUAGCCCCCUCUCGCAGCAAGGAGCACCACUGGUGGAAAUAAUUUAGGGCUGUCAAAGUCCUGCUCCUGACGGCUGCCAAUCAUCAUGGAAGAGUCAUAAAAAAAAAAAAAAAAUCCACUGCUAAUAUUUUUUUUAUUAAUAUUUUUAUUUUUUAUUUCUGGACUGAUUCAGAUAAAGGGAUUUAGAAGGACUGAGCAUCUGCAGCUGCACUUAUCUGAACUUCUCCUCUCCUAAAUCCGUUGCCAACUUUGAUUGAAUGGGUGCUGUGGAUGUGAUUAUAUAAUACUGCCAUUUCCAAGCAGUGUUUUUGGUAGGUUUUAAUAAACAGACUUUUCAAAAAGACGGCAAUAUAGAAUUGUUAGAUCCGUUGUUGAUCUAAAAAAAGAAAAAAAAAAAAAAUUUGCUUUAUAUUUUCAUUAAAUGACUUCUUUUAAUAUUUUAUUCAGAAUACCUAUGAACUGCUGCAAAACGGUAAUUUAUUUUUUCCCCAGAUCUUGUAUUACGUGUUUUUUUCAGACGAGCACAAAUCAAAAUGAAAUGAAAAUAUGGACAGUUGUUAGGUAAUAAGGGUAUCUUUUGAUGUGAUAAUUUGAUUGUAAUUUAAUUUGAGUAGUGAUUCCGUAAGAGCUG
This 1091-nucleotide long non-coding RNA is filed under the name Strigops habroptila (Kakapo). RNAcentral describes it as "lncRNA (ENSSHBG00005002077.1)". The record is from RNAcentral. Lineage: Eukaryota; Metazoa; Chordata; Aves; Psittaciformes; Psittacidae.